This 481-nucleotide ribosomal RNA is filed under the name uncultured bacterium. Its description in RNAcentral is "partial 16S ribosomal RNA". It matches the Rfam family "Bacterial small subunit ribosomal RNA", at positions 30 to 507 of the family's 1533-position model. The record is from RNAcentral.
UUGAACGCUGGCGGCAUGCCUUACACGUGCCAGUCGAACGGUAACAGGUCUUCGGAUGCUGACGAGUGGCGAACGGGUGAGUAAUACAUCGGAACGUGCCCAGACGUGGGGGAUAACGAGGCGAAAGCUUUGCUAAUACCGCAUACGAUCUAAGGAUGAAAGCAGGGGACCGCAAGGCCUUGCGCGUUUGGAGCGGCCGAUGGCAGAUUAGGUAGUUGGUGGGAUAAAAGCUUACCAAGCCGACGAUCUGUAGCUGGUCUGAGAGGACGACCAGCCACACUGGGACUGAGACACGGCCCAGACUCCUACGGGAGGCAGCAGUGGGGAAUUUUGGACAAUGGGCGAAAGCCUGAUCCAGCAAUGCCGCGUGCAGGAUGAAGGCCUUCGGGUUGUAAACUGCUUUUGUACGGAACGAAAAGGCUCUGGCUAAUACCUGGGGCACAUGACGGUACCGUAAGAAUAAGCACCGGCUAACUACGUG